UCUCGCCAAGUUGACCCAUUAUUUGGCCACCUUGUGCGGCGUGUGACUAUGGUGUCCGGGUAAGUGGCUGACGUGGCAGGCGUCCCGGGAAUGGGAGAAGAGAUGGGUAUAUAUAUGUAUUACCUGAAAGCUGAGGGCAGUUGUUGCCUUGGAUCAUGCAGAGAGUAUGCAGCCACACCCAUGCCUUAGAUGUGUGUAAUUCAAGUGGAGAAGACACAAGCCAGUGGUCACAAUAUCAACACUUGAGUGUUCUGUAAACGAUUGUUUGCCAUGUGCAAGGAAAUGGCAGAGGCAAAAUGCCGGCAGCUUAUGGAAAAAUAAUUUAUAAAAAAAAUGAUGGAU
RNAcentral lists this long non-coding RNA (342 nucleotides) under Mus caroli (Ryukyu mouse). Its description in RNAcentral is "lncRNA (MGP_CAROLIEiJ_G0006580.1)". Lineage: Eukaryota; Metazoa; Chordata; Mammalia; Rodentia; Muridae. The record is from RNAcentral.